CUUGAAUGUUCAGAUGACCUCUGCUUGUCUGAAUAUUUCAGAUUGUUUCUUUUUUCCUUUUAAUGUGGUAAAAUACACAUCACAUUUACAGUUGCAGCCUUUUUGAGUGGACAGUUCAGCUGCAUUCAGUGCAUUCACAUUGUUUUGCAAUUCUUUCCACCAUUCAUCUUCUCCAUCUUAAAUUCUGUAGCCAUUUAAACACUAACCCCACAUGCUGCCCUCCUCUACGCCACCUUUCAACUCUCCUUCUCUGAAUCUGCCCACCCUAGGAACCUCAUAGAAGUGGACUCCUGCGGUAGCUGUCCUUUGUGUCUGGCUGGUUUCACUUAGCAUGGUGCCUUCAGGGUUCAUUCCUCAUGGUGACUGCCAGGCUCACCUCUCUUUUAGGACUGGAUUGUGUUUCGUGGAUGCACAGAUGAUCCCCAGCUUAUGCUGGUUUCACUUAUAGUUUUUCAGCUUUAAGGUGGUGUGAAAGCAACACAUGUGCAGUAGAAACUGCAGUCUUCUCGGUGUUAUUUCCUUAGUGUUCUACCUUCUUAGCCUAUGGAGCUUGGACUUUGUAGAAUUUAUUUUCUGAGACUUUGAUUUUUACUAAAUCCUUUACAUGUUAAAAGUUGAUUUUCAGUUCUUAGCUAAUUUUUUUCUAAGGAGACUCAUGUAUUAGAACAUUUGUGGAGAGACAGCUAUUUAUUUAACAAUUUAUAAUCUGUCUACUUUGAGAAAAAAAUUUAAUAUGUUUUUACAAUAAUAGCUGUUGUAGAGAGUUAUGAAAAUAUUGGUAAAGAGUCAUGGGGAUUAGUGUGGAGGGAGAGAAUUAGGUGAAAGAUAACUAAAGUUGUCUUUUUAAUUUUAAUUUGCCAAAGUGAAAGAGGAAAUAG
This 878-nucleotide long non-coding RNA is filed under the name Marmota monax (woodchuck). The record is from RNAcentral. Lineage: Eukaryota; Metazoa; Chordata; Mammalia; Rodentia; Sciuridae.